UGGGGAAUCUUGCACAAUGGAGGAAACUCUGAUGCAGCGACGCCGCGUGAACGAUGAAGCCCUUCGGGGUGUAAAGUUCUUUCGACAGGGACGAUAAUGACGGUACCUGAAGAAGAAGCUGCGGCUAACUACGUGCCAGCAGCCGCGGUAAUACGUAGGCAGCGAGCGUUGUUCGGAAUUACUGGGCGUAAAGAGUGCGUAGGUGGUUGGCUAAGUUUGGUGUGAAAUCUCCCGGCUUAACUGGGAGGGUGCGCCGAAAACUGGCUGGCUAGAGUGUGGGAGAGGAACGUGGAAUUCCUGGUGUAGCGGUGAAAUGCGUAGAUAUCAGGAGGAACACCUGAGGUGUAGACGGCGUUCUGGACCAUUACUGACACUGAGGCACGAAAGCGUGGGUAGCAAACAGGAUUAGAUACCCUGGUAGUCCACACCGUAAACGUUGGGCGCUAGGUGUGGGACUCAUUCCACGAGUUCCGUGCCGCAGCUAACGCAUUAAGCCG
Molecule: ribosomal RNA, 497 nt
Filed under: uncultured Acidobacteriota bacterium
Lineage: Bacteria; Pseudomonadati; Acidobacteriota
Description: bacterial SSU rRNA
Rfam family: Bacterial small subunit ribosomal RNA
Source: RNAcentral